This 433-nucleotide ribosomal RNA is filed under the name uncultured bacterium. RNAcentral's name for it is "partial 16S ribosomal RNA". It matches the Rfam family "Bacterial small subunit ribosomal RNA", at positions 29 to 507 of the family's 1533-position model. The record is from RNAcentral.
AACGAACGCUGGCGGCAUGCCUAACACAUGCAAGUCGAACGAGAGCUUCGGGUCUGGUGGCGCACGGGUGCGUAACGGGUGGGAACCUGCCCUUAGGUUCGGAAUAACUCCCCGAAAGGGGUGCUAAUACCGGAUAAUGUCUUCGGACCAACGAUUUAUCGCCUUUGGAUGGGCCCGCGUUGGAUUAGCUAGUUGGUAGGGUAAAAGCCUACCAAGGCGACGAUCCAUAGCUGGUCAGAGAGGAUGAGCAGCCACACUGGGACUGAGACACGGCCCAGACUCCUACGGGAGGCAGCAGUGGGGAAUAUUGCACAGCGGGCGAAAGCAUGAUGCAGCAAUGCCGGGUGAGUGAUGAAGGCCUUAGGGUUGUAAAGCUCUUUUACCCGGGAUGAUAAUGACAGUACCGGGAGAAUAAGCUCCGGCUAACUCCGUG